RNAcentral lists this ribosomal RNA (451 nucleotides) under Salmonella enterica subsp. enterica serovar Kentucky. RNAcentral describes it as "bacterial SSU rRNA". It matches the Rfam family "Bacterial small subunit ribosomal RNA", at positions 577 to 1027 of the family's 1533-position model. Lineage: Bacteria; Pseudomonadati; Pseudomonadota; Gammaproteobacteria; Enterobacterales; Enterobacteriaceae. The record is from RNAcentral.
GGUCUGUCAAGUCGGAUGUGAAAUCCCCGGGCUCAACCUGGGAACUGCAUUCGAAACUGGCAGGCUUGAGUCUUGUAGAGGGGGGUAGAAUUCCAGGUGUAGCGGUGAAAUGCGUAGAGAUCUGGAGGAAUACCGGUGGCGAAGGCGGCCCCCUGGACAAAGACUGACGCUCAGGUGCGAAAGCGUGGGGAGCAAACAGGAUUAGAUACCCUGGUAGUCCACGCCGUAAACGAUGUCUACUUGGAGGUUGUGCCCUUGAGGCGUGGCUUCCGGAGCUAACGCGUUAAGUAGACCGCCUGGGGAGUACGGCCGCAAGGUUAAAACUCAAAUGAAUUGACGGGGGCCCGCACAAGCGGUGGAGCAUGUGGUUUAAUUCGAUGCAACGCGAAGAACCUUACCUGGUCUUGACAUCCACAGAAUUCUGCAGAGAUGCGGAAGUGCCUUCGGGAAC